CAGUCGCCACGGGAAUACGUAGGUGGCAAGCGUUGUCCGGAAUUAUUGGGCGUAAAGGGCUCGCAGGCGGUUUCUUAAGUCUGAUGUGAAAGCCCCCGGCUCAACCGGGGAGGGUCAUUGGAAACUGGGAAACUUGAGUGCAGAAGAGGAGAGUGGAAUUCCACGUGUAGCGGUGAAAUGCGUAGAGAUGUGGAGGAACACCAGUAGCGAAGGCGACUCUCUGGUCUGUAACUGACGCUGAGGAGCGAAAGCGUGGGGAGCGAACAGGAUUAGAUACCCCAGUAGUCCCUGUCUCUUAUAC
This 301-nucleotide ribosomal RNA is filed under the name uncultured bacterium. Its description in RNAcentral is "partial 16S ribosomal RNA". It matches the Rfam family "Bacterial small subunit ribosomal RNA", at positions 509 to 807 of the family's 1533-position model. The record is from RNAcentral.